This 497-nucleotide ribosomal RNA is filed under the name uncultured bacterium. Its description in RNAcentral is "partial 16S ribosomal RNA". It matches the Rfam family "Bacterial small subunit ribosomal RNA", at positions 355 to 866 of the family's 1533-position model. The record is from RNAcentral.
UGGGGAAUAUUGGACAAUGGGCGCAAGCCUGAUCCAGCAAUGCCGCGUGAGUGAUGAAGGCCUUAGGGUUGUAAAGCUCUUUCGCACGCGACGAUGAUGACGGUAGCGUGAGAAGAAGCCCCGGCUAACUUCGUGCCAGCAGCCGCGGUAAUACGAAGGGGGCUAGCGUUGUUCGGAAUUACUGGGCGUAAAGGGCGCGUAGGCGGCCUGUUUAGUCAGAAGUGAAAGCCCCGGGCUCAACCUGGGAAUAGCUUUUGAUACUGGCAGGCUUGAGUUCCGGAGAGGAUGGUGGAAUUCCCAGUGUAGAGGUGAAAUUCGUAGAUAUUGGGAGGAACACCGGUGGCGAAGGCGGCCAUCUGGACGGACACUGACGCUGAGGCGCGAAAAGCGUGGGGAGCAAACAGGAUUAGAUACCCUGGUAGUCCACGCCGUAAAACGAUAAAUGCUAGACGUCGGGGUGCAUGCACUUCGGUGUCGCCGCUAAACGCAUUAAAGCA